GCAAGUCGAACGAUGACUCUGUGCUUGCACAGAUGAUUAGUGGCGAACGGGUGAGUAACACGUGAGUAACCUGCCCUUGACUCUGGGAUAAGCCUGGGAAACUGGGUCUAAUACUGGAUAUGCACCGUGGACCGCAUGGUUCUUGGUGGAAAGAUUUUAUUGGUCAAGGAUGGACUCGCGGCCUAUCAGCUUGUUGGUGAGGUAAUGGCUCACCAAGGCGACGACGGGUAGCCGGCCUGAGAGGGUGACCGGCCACACUGGGACUGAGACACGGCCCAGACUCCUACGGGAGGCAGCAGUGGGGAAUAUUGCACAAUGGGCGAAAGCCUGAUGCAGCGACGCCGCGUGAGGGAUGACGGCCUUCGGGUUGUAAACCUCUUUCAGUAGGGAAGAAGCGAGAGUGACGGUACCUGCAGAAGAAGCGCCGGCUAACUACGUGCCAGCAGCCGCGGUAAUACGUAGGGCGCAAGCGUUAUCCGGAAUUAUUGGGCGUAAAGAGCUCGUAGGCGGUUUGUCGCGUCUAUCGUGAAAGUCCGAGGCUCAACCUCGGAUCUGCGGUGGGUACGGGCAGACUAGAGUGAUGUAGGGGAGACUGGAAUUCCUGGU
Molecule: ribosomal RNA, 606 nt
Filed under: uncultured Arthrobacter sp.
Lineage: Bacteria; Bacillati; Actinomycetota; Actinomycetes; Micrococcales; Micrococcaceae
Description: bacterial SSU rRNA
Rfam family: Bacterial small subunit ribosomal RNA
Source: RNAcentral